AUAGCGGCGGCUAUCCUAUCGCCCGACCCUGUGUCGGGAGGAAAGUCCGGGCAGCGCGAGCCACCAUGCUUCCUAACGGGAAGGGGCUGUAUUGUAACGAUAUGGCUACAGCAAGCGCCACAGAAAACAGACCGCCUCCGCCCCAUGCGGGGGUAAGGGUGAAAACGCGGGGUAAGAGCCCACGACACGUCCCGGUGACGGGCGCGAUGGCAAGCCUCAUGGGCUGAAAGACCAAAUACACCGACAAGCCUACGGGCAGCGGGCCGGCUCGCCUGCACUGUCGGGGGGUAGGUCGAUAGAGACCGUCGGCGACGGCGGCCCGAGAUUAAUGAUAGGACACGACAGAACCCGGCUUACAGGCACCGCUAUUUUU
This 373-nucleotide RNase P RNA is filed under the name Bacteroidales bacterium. RNAcentral describes it as "RNase P RNA component class A". It matches the Rfam family "Bacterial RNase P class A". Rfam says of the family: Ribonuclease P (RNase P) is a ubiquitous endoribonuclease, found in archaea, bacteria and eukarya as well as chloroplasts and mitochondria. Lineage: Bacteria; Pseudomonadati; Bacteroidota; Bacteroidia; Bacteroidales. The record is from RNAcentral.